Molecule: long non-coding RNA, 204 nt
Filed under: Carica papaya (papaya)
Lineage: Eukaryota; Viridiplantae; Streptophyta; Magnoliopsida; Brassicales; Caricaceae
Description: long non-coding RNA (CPAP_LNC007223)
Source: RNAcentral
CACUUGAUUACUUUUCUCAAAUUCUAAAUCUCUUAUUCGGAUGUCCGUAUAACUUUUCUGUCUACUCUGAGCUGUCUGUAUGUUCUUCCUAAUUUUAAUUAUCUUCGUUGUGGUCUCAUCUACAAGGUAUGGCCAAUCAAUUUUUUAUCACCCAUCUUUUCUGAACAGAUCGACGAUUUCAAUACCUUCUUGAUAACUGUUAUU